Long non-coding RNA from Tupaia belangeri chinensis (Chinese tree shrew), 594 nucleotides. RefSeq lists it as uncharacterized. The transcript has 3 exons. NCBI's taxonomy places the organism in Eukaryota, Metazoa, Chordata, Mammalia, Scandentia, Tupaiidae. The record is from RefSeq and is a predicted model, not a curated record.
CCACUGGGUCCAGGACUCGAACUGCGGUCAGCCAUGUGAGAGUUCAGCAAUGUAACCAUUACAACAUCUGCAGGCCCCAAGUUGGAAGACUAAGUCACUAAUUUUCCAUCUUUAUUUGUUUCUGACUUGUGUGUUUCCAUCUGAGCAUUGCUUUAACUUCACUCUCCAAAUUUUGUGCUGGCCUCAUCUCCAGAGUGAGGACGAACAUCAUGUGAAGAGUGAGAGGUGGCCACAUUGAGCCUUGGGGUGGACAGAAACCAAUGGGGAAGACCUGGGCUUCGUGUACCAACCUGACCUGGCAGAGACCAGGCCUUGAGACUGCAACCCCAGAAGCAGAUGUGCUCAAGGAAGAUAAGAACUUCUGCCCUGAUUACCAGGUUCACCCGACCCAGCCACAGCUGAAAAUAACAACCAUGACAUCAACAAGUCUCCUCCGUGGGAUCAGCCAAGGAGAUGACGAACUGCUGGCGGGACAAAAUAGCAUAUAGCUCCGCUCCUUGUGUCCCUUGAAACAUCCCUCUCAUCAGACCAGGACUUGGAAGAUGGUCUUUGGGCACUAAUCCACCAUCUCCCCCUCCUCUCUAGCUUCCUGGA